CCUACGGGUGGCAGCAGUGGGGAAUAUUGGACAAUGGGCGAAAGCCUGAUCCAGCCAUGCCGCGUGUGUGAAGAAGGCCUUCGGGUUGUAAAGCACUUUUAGUGGGGAAGAAAGCCUUGGGGCUAAUACCCUCGAGGAAGGACAUCACCCACAGAAGAAGCACCGGCUAACUCCGUGCCAGCAGCCGCGGUAAUACGGAGGGUGCGAGCGUUAAUCGGAAUUACUGGGCGUAAAGCGCGCGUAGGCGGUCUGAUAAGCCGGUUGUGAAAGCCCCGGGCUCAACCUGGGAACGGCAUCCGGAACUGUCAGGCUAGAGUGCAGGAGAGGAAGGUAGAAUUCCCGGUGUAGCGGUGAAAUGCGUAGAGAUCGGGAGGAAUACCAGUGGCGAAGGCGGCCUUCUGGACUGACACUGACGCUGAGGUGCGAAAGCGUGGGUAGCAAACAGGAUUAGAUACCCGAGUAGUC
Molecule: ribosomal RNA, 465 nt
Filed under: Vreelandella stevensii
Lineage: Bacteria; Pseudomonadati; Pseudomonadota; Gammaproteobacteria; Oceanospirillales; Halomonadaceae
Description: partial 16S ribosomal RNA
Rfam family: Bacterial small subunit ribosomal RNA
Source: RNAcentral